AGGAAGAGUAAUUAACAUGGAUUUUUUGUAUAUAUAUAUAACACAAAUUCUUUUAAUUACUCUUCUUUAAUGGUGCUCAAACUAUUUGCACAUUGAAAUUUCAAACCCUGGUCAACAAGAAUGCGAGAACGUAACCUACCCUCUAAACAUUCUUGCAAGAUCAUACGACCGAGCUCUGAGUUGUUUUUGCUGGAAUCCGCCAGUUCCAAAAACUGGGUUUUAGUCAUCCGCACCUUCAUCCUUAAAUUAGUUGACGAGAUAGUGUUGAUAUGGCUCAUAAAAUUGUC
Molecule: long non-coding RNA, 287 nt
Filed under: Jatropha curcas
Lineage: Eukaryota; Viridiplantae; Streptophyta; Magnoliopsida; Malpighiales; Euphorbiaceae
Description: long non-coding RNA (JCUR_LNC002508)
Source: RNAcentral